AUCAAAAAAAACUGAAAUACACCCCUUUUACAAUAGCAGAAAAUACUUCUCAUUGACGGCCGGUAGCUGCAAACGGAAAUCGAAGACUCGAGAUGCUUUUUAACAAGAUGGAGAACAUGGCCAACAAUAGAUGGCGAUUAGAAGACGGCCUGAAGGACAGAAGCAAAAGGAGUAAAGGUUGAGGCAGAGAAAACGAAGUCUGGAAGAGGAAUAAAGGAGCCUGUCUGGGAG
RNAcentral lists this unclassified non-coding RNA (231 nucleotides) under Hevea brasiliensis (rubber tree). Lineage: Eukaryota; Viridiplantae; Streptophyta; Magnoliopsida; Malpighiales; Euphorbiaceae. The record is from RNAcentral.